RNAcentral lists this ribosomal RNA (392 nucleotides) under uncultured bacterium. RNAcentral describes it as "partial 16S ribosomal RNA". It matches the Rfam family "Bacterial small subunit ribosomal RNA", at positions 523 to 918 of the family's 1533-position model. The record is from RNAcentral.
ACACGGAGGAUCCGAGCGUUAUCCGGAUUUAUUGGGUUUAAAGGGUGCGCAGGCGGCCAUUUAAGUCAGCGGUUAAAUUGUGGGGCUCAACCCCAUUCUGCCGUUGAUACUGGGUGGCUUGAUUGCGGUCGAGGUUGGCGGAAUUCGUUGUGUAGCGGUGAAAUGCAUAGAUAUGACGAAGAACACCGAUUGCGUAGGCAGCUGACCAGACCGCAAAUGACGCUCAUGCACGAAAGUGCGGGGAUCGAACAGGAUUAGAUACCCUGGUAGUCCGCACAGUAAACGAUGAAUACUUGUUUUCGGCGAUAUAAUGUCGGAGGCAAAGCGAAAGCGAUAAGUAUUCCACCUGGGGAGUACGCCGGCAACGGUGAAACUCAAAUGAAUUGACGGGG